Molecule: long non-coding RNA, 470 nt
Organism: Rhea pennata
Lineage: Eukaryota; Metazoa; Chordata; Aves; Rheiformes; Rheidae
Exons: 3
Source: RefSeq, a predicted model, not a curated record
GCCGCCCUCCUCCUCCUCCGAGUCGGAGUCCUCGCCGUGGAUGAGGCGCACCAGGCCGAAGCGCACCGAGCCGCGGUAGCGGCCCGACACCAGCUGCCAGACAGCACAACCGGACCAGACUGGGCAGAGGAGCAGCUCCAGGUCCCCGUCCCACGCCGCCUCCGGGGCUAACAGCAAACAAAUACCCCCCUCCGUGACUCCCGUGCUGCUGAGAAGUUGGCCCUGCCGAUGGCACAUCUCGCCGCGGUCCCGUAGCUGCUCUCCUGUUGCCUAAUCCCACUUCUGCACAGCGUGCCGCUAAGCCACGGAGAGGGGCUGCCCCGGGCACCCGCAGCACGUCCCCGCAGAGAGCCCUCCGCGCCGGAUCCAGCAGCGCCCUCGGAACCGGCUGCAGGUGCUCAGGACCACCCAGGAUCAAACCAUGCUUGUGUUUUCUCAGUUUACGGAGAUGGCCUGCUUGCCUGCUCUGG